AUCCAGCUGACCAGUCCUAAAUAGGACGAAACACUCAUCCUAGAU
This 45-nucleotide non-coding RNA is filed under the name Schistosoma haematobium. The record is from RNAcentral. Lineage: Eukaryota; Metazoa; Platyhelminthes; Trematoda; Strigeidida; Schistosomatidae.